This 862-nucleotide long non-coding RNA is filed under the name Scleropages formosus (Asian bonytongue). Its description in RNAcentral is "lncRNA (ENSSFOG00015027204.1)". Lineage: Eukaryota; Metazoa; Chordata; Actinopteri; Osteoglossiformes; Osteoglossidae. The record is from RNAcentral.
GUCAUCAGCAUCCUGGGGGGUGUCGUAGCUGCUGGACUCAUCAUCGGUGUUGCUGUCACUGUGUUCAUGGUCUACCGGCGUCAACAGAAGACACGCACAGAGACAGAUAAUGACCUGACAGACCUCCCGCCGGCUCACAAACCAGCCCCACCUCCACCGCAGAAGAAGACCAGCGACUCAAAGACCCACCUGACAUCUGAUGACAUACAGGUGGUCCACCUGGACAAGGAGGAUGAGAUGCAGAAACUGCCACUCCAACCCCCUUACUACGACAUGGCUCCAUCUGAGGCGAACUCUGGCCACAAGGACUUCGACGUCCAGUAUGCUGAACUGGACACCACGGCCCUGGCCUCCUCGCCCAACCCCCGAGGCCCUGUGCAGCCACCAGGCGGCGACCUGGUCGAGUAUGCAACCAUCCAGCCUAGCUCUCACUAGCGCAUGCCACUGUAGGCCUUUUUCCCUCAGACCCCCGGCCUCAAGAACCACAGGAAGCGUCACAAAGAGCUAUCAAACCCGGCUGACUCUGUGAACAGUCAUCGGUCCCGACCCUGGGAGGUUCAUCUGGAGCCUCGGCCUCCGCCGGCCCACCCCCCACUGGCCGUCUCGCCCCUCGGUCCUUGCGCACAGCCCCCCUCCAGCAGCCCCACAUUACGGCCACCCGCCGCGAGCCUGCGGGUCCUCUACAGCUUCCCUCAGGACCAGCGCAUCUAGCGUCGAGCAUCCUCCGCGGUCGUGGCACGACACCCGGCUCUCUCCACACUUCUCCUUGACCACUCUUCACGUCAGCCUUGUCUUCCACUAGCUUUAGCUGUUCGAAUUUUUCAUUUGCCAAGUUUCCUUGUCCUCAUGUACAAGACACACC